AAACAUCACACCGCACAACACCAUCCAUAGCCUCAACCGAUCCUUUGUCUGUUCGAUCUCCCAAAUAUUUACAACGCAUCUAUAUCCCUACAAUUGCUAUCGCAUCUCAAGACUUAUUCCAUCGUUUUCUUCACCGUUGCUCUCACCGACGAACUUUCACUGUAGUGGACUUUCUAGCAAUAUUGAAGAACAGUACCUGAACUGACUAAAGAUUACCGAAUAGGUGAAUUCAACCGAUAUAAUUCAAGGUACAAAUUGAUGGUAAAACAAUUUCUUUGUAUCAUACAUGGGCUUUAAUUAAAUAUUUUUUUAAUUGUUAAUGGCUCAACAGUUGGUUAUCCUAUUUUUUUCUCAUGAAAGAAUUGACUCAUUAUUCAUGAAUCUAGCAAAUGACAUGUUGACAGAAGACUAGAAAUAACAAGAACAUCUUAAGUGAUGUUAAUCUGAGAGGAGGAGUUCAUAUUUAUUUUGUGUUGUCAACGAAGAGCUUUAUCAUGCUUGAGCUACUAUCAAUUGUGGAGAAGUUGCGAGACAUAUGGUACAAAGGAUCUAGAAAUCAACAAAGUAAGGUUUGUAGUAGAUUUUAUGAUCUGCUAACCAGUAUUUUACAUUUGACUGUCAUCUAUGUAGCUGGUUUUUAAUUUACCAUAGAGUUGUGCUUUCAUAUGAUCAGUGUAUCAGUGAUCAACUCACUAGAACAUGCUUACAAAUAAUAUUAUUUACAUGUGAAUGCCUUUAAUCUUUCUAAUAAUGAUGCAGGCUUUCUCCCAUAUGAGGAGAAGAAGGUAAUGGAGAAAAUUUGUGUUGCAUUUUAGGUAGAUGACUCUGAAAAUUUGGUUGAUUUCUUGCUGGACUUUGAUUAGGAUAAGUUUAUGAAAGCUUUUUUAAUGGUAUGAUUCUAUCAACGAUAUGUGUUAACAUUCAAUUCAUAUGCGUAUACCCCAUAUUCUACUAAAGGGAUCUUACUCACUAUCUCUCUUUCCGUUUCUGUAUUUUAUGGUUAGCAUGUUCAGUUAUGUAUUUACUUUAUUUUUCGUUUUCGGUAUUUUGAUAUUUCGACUUCUAACUAAUGCAUAUGAUGGGCAUAUAUAAGGCAUGUGGGCACGGGAGGCACCAGCGAAGCUUUAGCGCCUGCUGUAUGUGGGCAUAUUUCGUGCUUCUUUGGGUUGUAUAUGUUACCUUUUUAGGUUCUACAUAGAGGUUAUGUAUAUGUUAACCGUAUAUAGAGGUUUUAUUAUCUAAGUUUUGAGUGUUUAAGGAGUGGUACUUGUCAUUAUAUUAAAUAUUAUGUA
This is a long non-coding RNA of Helianthus annuus (common sunflower), 1292 nucleotides long. RefSeq lists it as uncharacterized. Lineage: Eukaryota; Viridiplantae; Streptophyta; Magnoliopsida; Asterales; Asteraceae. The record is from RefSeq and is a predicted model, not a curated record. The transcript has 3 exons.